CCUACGGGAGGCUGCAGUGGGGAAUAUUGGACAAUGGGGGCAACCCUGAUCCAGCCAUGCCGCGUGUGUGAAGAAGGCCCUCGGGUUGUAAAGCACUUUCAGUGAGGAAGAACGCCUGGUGGUUAAUACCCAUCAGGAAAGACAUCACUCACAGAAGAAGCACCGGCUAACUCCGUGCCUGCAGCCGCGGUAAUACGGAGGGUGCGAGCGUUAAUCGGAAUUACUGGGCGUAAAGCGCGCGUAGGUGGCUUGAUAAGCCGGUUGUGAAAGCCCCGGGCUCAACCUGGGAACGGCAUCCGGAACUGUCAAGCUAGAGUGCAGGAGAGGAAGGUAGAAUUCCCGGUGUAGCGGUGAAAUGCGUAGAGAUCGGGAGGAAUACCAGUGGCGAAGGCGGCCUUCUGGACUGACACUGACACUGAGGUGCGAAAGCGUGGGUAGCAAACAGGAUUAGAUACCCGGGUAGUC
This 465-nucleotide ribosomal RNA is filed under the name Vreelandella stevensii. Its description in RNAcentral is "partial 16S ribosomal RNA". It matches the Rfam family "Bacterial small subunit ribosomal RNA", at positions 338 to 795 of the family's 1533-position model. Lineage: Bacteria; Pseudomonadati; Pseudomonadota; Gammaproteobacteria; Oceanospirillales; Halomonadaceae. The record is from RNAcentral.